GAUGAACGCUGGCGGCGUGCCUAAUACAUGCAAGUCGAACGCUUCACUUCGGUGAAGAGUGGCGAACGGGUGAGUAAUACAUAAGUAACCUGGCAUCUACAGGGGGAUAACUGAUGGAAACGUCAACUAAGACCGCAUAGGUGUAGAGAUCGCAUGAACUCUAUAUGAAAAGUGCUACGGGACUGGUAGAUGAUGGACUUAUGGCGCAUUAGCUGGUUGGUAGGGUAACGGCCUACCAAGGCGACGAUGCGUAGCCGACCUGAGAGGGUGACCGGCCACACUGGGACUGAGACACGGCCCAGACUCCUACGGGAGGCAGCAGUAGGGAAUUUUCGGCAAUGGGGGAAACCCUGACCGAGCAACGCCGCGUGAAGGAAGAAGUAAUUCGUUAUGUAAACUUCUGUCAUAGAGGAAGAACGGUGGAUAUAGGGAAUGAUAUCCAAGUGACG
Molecule: ribosomal RNA, 449 nt
Filed under: uncultured bacterium
Lineage: Bacteria
Description: bacterial SSU rRNA
Rfam family: Bacterial small subunit ribosomal RNA
Source: RNAcentral